This 510-nucleotide ribosomal RNA is filed under the name uncultured bacterium. RNAcentral's name for it is "bacterial SSU rRNA". It matches the Rfam family "Bacterial small subunit ribosomal RNA", at positions 15 to 518 of the family's 1533-position model. The record is from RNAcentral.
GAUCCUGGCUCAGGAUGAACGCUAGCGACAGGCUUAACACAUGCAAGUCGAGGGGCAGCACGGGAGUAGCAAUACUUGGUGGCGACCGGCGCACGGGUGAGUAACGCGUAUGCAACCUACCUAUCAGAGGGGAAUAACCCGGCGAAAGUCGGACUAAUACCGCAUAAAACAGGGGCACCGCAUGGUGAUAUUUGUUAAAGAAAUUCGCUGAUAGAUGGGCAUGCGUUCCAUUAGGUAGUUGGUGAGGUAACGGCUCACCAAGCCGACGAUGGAUAGGGGAACUGAGAGGUUGGUCCCCCACACUGGUACUGAGACACGGACCAGACUCCUACGGGAGGCAGCAGUGAGGAAUAUUGGUCAAUGGGCGGGAGCCUGAACCAGCCAAGUCGCGUGAAGGAAGAAGGAUCUAUGGUUCGUAAACUUCUUUUGCAGGGGAAUAAAGUGCAGGACGUGUCCUGUUUUGUAUGUACCCUGAGAAUAAGGAUCGGCUAACUCCGUGCCAGCCGCUGC